This 408-nucleotide ribosomal RNA is filed under the name uncultured bacterium. RNAcentral's name for it is "bacterial SSU rRNA". It matches the Rfam family "Bacterial small subunit ribosomal RNA", at positions 355 to 759 of the family's 1533-position model. The record is from RNAcentral.
UAGGGAAUAUUGGACAAUGGGUGAGAGCCUGAUCCAGCCAUGCCGCGUGCAGGAAGAAGGCGUUAUGCGUUGUAAACUGCUUUUUGCCAGGGGAUAAAAAGACCGUGCGCGGUUAAUUGAAGGUACCUGGUGAAUAAGCCACGGCUAACUACGUGCCAGCAGCCGCGGUAAUACGUAGGUGGCAAGCGUUGUCCGGAUUUAUUGGGUUUAAAGGGUGCGUAGGUGGCCCUGUAAGUCAGUGGUGAAAUAUCUCAGCUUAACUGAGAGGGUGCCAUUGAUACUGCAGGGGCUUGAGUACAGAUGAGGUAGGCGGAAUUGACGGUGUAGCGGUGAAAUGCAUAGAUAUCAAGAGGAACACCUGAGGCGAAGGCGAGUUGCUAGGCUGACACUGACGCUGAGGUACGAAAG